UGGAAUGUUCUUUUGCUCAAAGGUAACGUCUAAGGAUGAGUUGGCGGCUGAUUAGGCUGUUGGUAGUGUAAAGGACUACCAAACCUUUGAUCAGUACGGGCCGUGAGAGCGGUAGCCCGGAGAAGGGUACUGAGAUACUGACCCUAGCCCUACGGGGUGCAGCAGGCGCGAAACCUUUACACUGUACGGAAGUGCGAUAAGGGAACUCCUAGUGCUCAUGUAUUGCAUGGGCUUUUGCCAAGUGUAAAUAACUUGGCGAAUAAGUGGUGGGUAAGACGGGUGCCAGCCGCCGCGGUAACACCUGCGCCACGAGUGGCAAUCACGUUUAUUGGGCCUAAAGCGUUCGUAGCCGGAUUGGUAAGUCUUGGGUGAAAUCGUUGCGCUUAACAAAACGACGUGCUUGAGAUACUAUCUGUCUAGAGACCGGGAGGAGUAAGGGGUAUUCCUGAGGGAGCGGUAAAAUGCUAUAAUCUCAGGAGGACCACCUGUGGCGAAGGCGCCUUACUAGAACGGGUCUGACGGUGAGGAACGAAAGCUAGGGGAGCAAACCGGAUUAGAUACCCGAGUAGUCCUAGCCGUAAACUCUGUGAACUAGAUGUUGCAUAUUCUACGUGAAUAUGCAGUGUCGGAGCGAAGGUAUUAAGUUCACC
RNAcentral lists this ribosomal RNA (650 nucleotides) under uncultured archaeon. Its description in RNAcentral is "bacterial SSU rRNA". It matches the Rfam family "Archaeal small subunit ribosomal RNA", at positions 171 to 825 of the family's 1478-position model. The record is from RNAcentral.